RNAcentral lists this unclassified non-coding RNA (252 nucleotides) under Glomus sp. RNAcentral describes it as "partial contains 5.8S ribosomal RNA and internal transcribed spacer 2". The stretch from base 1 to 65 matches the Rfam family "5.8S ribosomal RNA", at positions 84 to 154 of the family's 154-position model. Lineage: Eukaryota; Fungi; Glomeromycota; Glomeromycetes; Glomerales; Glomeraceae. The record is from RNAcentral.
GUGAAUCAUCGAAUUUUUGAACGCAAAUUGCACUCUCUUCGGUGAGUAUGCCUGUUUGAGGGUCAGCCUAAAAAAAAUCGACAUAGUUGCUGUUUUCGCGGUGACAUUCGUCGGAAAUUCGGUCAUCUUAAACCUUUGGGAUUUAAGCGGCUUAAAAUUUUCUUCUGGUUCUAUGAACGCUUCUAAGAUCUAUUUCUUUACACGUUUAAGGUAUCGUUUUUUUUUAGUCGUGACCAUCAUAUUGGAUCGCGU